ACCCGCUGAACUUAAGCAUAUCAAUAAGCGGAGGAAAAGAAACCAACAGGGAUUGCCCUAGUAACGGCGAGUGAAGCGGCAUCAGCUCAAAUUUGAAAUCUGGCUCUUUUAGGGUCCGAGUUGUAAUUUGCAGAGGGCGCUUUGGCAUAGGCAGCGAUUCAAGUUCCUUGGAACAGGACGUCACAGAGGGUGAGAAUCCCGUACGUGGUCGCUAGCUCUUGCCGUGUAAAGCCCCUUCGACGAGUCGAGUUGUUUGGGAAUGCAGCUCUAAAUGGGAGGUAAAUUUCUUCUAAAGCUAAAUAUUGGCCAGAGACCGAUAGCGCACAAGUAGAGUGAUCGAAAGAUGAAAAGUACUUUGGAAAGAGAGUCAAAAAGCACGUGAAAUUGUUGAAAGGGAAGCGCUUGCAGCCAGACUUGCCUGUAGUUGCUCAUCCGGGCUCUUGCCCGGUGCACUCUUCUGUAGGCAGGCCAGCAUCAGUUUGGGCGGUUGGAUAAAGGUCUCUGUCAUGUACCUCUCUUCGGGGAGGCCCUAUAGGGGAGGCGACAUACAACCAGCCUGGACUGAGGUCCGCGCAUUCGUGCUAGGAUGCUGGCGUAAUGGCUGU
This 605-nucleotide ribosomal RNA is filed under the name uncultured fungus. Its description in RNAcentral is "eukaryotic LSU rRNA". It matches the Rfam family "Eukaryotic large subunit ribosomal RNA", at positions 23 to 641 of the family's 3401-position model. The record is from RNAcentral. Lineage: Eukaryota; Fungi.